UGUCGCUGUCAUGAAGCAAAA
Caenorhabditis elegans is the source of this 21-nucleotide non-coding RNA. The record is from Ensembl. NCBI's taxonomy places the organism in Eukaryota, Metazoa, Nematoda, Chromadorea, Rhabditida, Rhabditidae.